ACAUUUUUUAUCCUUUUCAUUAUUUUUCUGUAGUAUUACCCAGGGUGUUACUGGUAAUUCGACAAUCAACUUGGACCACCCAAUACAAAGCGGGUUCCGACCCGAUAUCAAAUACUGUUGUUUCACUGAAGAAUUUCUCAAAGAUCCGAACAUCGGCGGGCGACCCAUCACUUUUUUGAAUUUGUCAGUUUGUUUCGUGGAGCCAUAAUUUCAGGGGAAGUUUCCUCCAUCGACUUCACUUCGUCGUUAACUGCUGACAACGAAUAUCUCCUCUGUGCUGUGCUUUCUUCACAUUCCGAGAUUUGAAACCAACGGUGGCCAUGGAUUUUGGUCAUAAGCGCACCCCAUUGGGUGUGGUUUCUCCUUCGUCCAUUCCUACUGGUAGGCAUAAUCCUGAUAUGUUUUCUGUCCAGUGCACUGACUGAGUGUUUUGGGGUAUUCUCAGCACAGCGGAGGCGAUCUUCGCAUUAUAGACCUUCUCCGUCGCAUGACGUGUGGACAUAUGCUAAUGAGUCAUCUGCGUCGCGUGAAAAUGUCGAUCCUAACGGAGCCAGCCGAAUGGAUCGUGAUAUUCGUACAUAAUUUCUUCAGCGACUAUGGUUCUGAAGCGAUUAGAUUUAUUACUUGAAGCAUAUAACAAGACUGUGCCAGUUUCACGAUUUGAAACUCCCACUCCUGCCAAUAACUCUCCCAGCUGUCCACACAUGGUUCAGGUACAAAUACUCUUAGCUCAGUACAUUACUACAUAUCCUCACUCAGUAGAUUCUUUGCACAAGAUUGAGACAGAUAUUUCUACCAACUAUUAUGUGACAGAUGUUAUGACUGUGAUGUUAGGUUCUGCAAACACACGUGCUACACCAAAUAGACCCUUUGAUCAGAGUCAUGUAUUUAGAUUACUGCCUCAAACACAUGGAGAUUGCAGGACACACGGUUCAGAUCAGACACAAAACUCUUCGAGUCAGUUGACACAGAGUAGUCAUCAAACACCUUUCAGAGGCAAAUGCGGAUCUAGGAAGAGACACGGGGGGACACGUGUACCCCCUAAUUUUUUAUUAUUUUUUUUUACAUUUUUUCACCAUUCUAAAUUUUGCAAAAUUCUAAAAGUGCCCCCAAAAAAUUUAAAAAUAUAUAGGUGUUUUCCGAAAAUUUGCUUCGUGCCCCCCUAUGCUUAGUGUGCUAGAUCCGCCCCUAAUCAGAGGUAUGUGAUUUUGUGGUUUUUCCAAAUUAUUCAUGUAAAUGUUAACUGGAAGUAUGUUCCAACAUAACAUAAGCUACUCAGACUCGAGGUACUGGUCGAAUCGAUGGACUCGACGUCCCUACUAAGACAUAUGGUCCUUUUCCCAAAUAGUUGUACUUUAGUGUCGAAUCAGUUCAAUGAUCAAUGCUUUGCGGUUUGUUCAGUCAUCCUGUUUGUUUGUUGCUUAUGACAUUUAAUAUUUAAGAACUAUCUAUUUGCAGAAAUGAUAUGCUGUUGUGAAUAGCAAAACAGGAUCUGCAGGUUCACUGCAUAUCUGCAGGUUAUAAGAUCAAGUGUAACCAGUUUCUAAUUCUUUCAUCUGCAGCUUAGAACAUGAUUUAAGUUUAUAACCUUUUAUUUCGCAUUUAAUACUUCUGCCAGAAGGAAAAUUAUUAUUUGUUUCAUUUGUCUUGGUGCUGAUCCUCCAAUGUUCAGGAAUUGAUUUUGCAUGCACUUCAUUGACCUAAGCUUUUGUCCAGACCUGCUUUUUUAAGAGUACAAUGCAGACAUAAUGAGAUUAUGAUCAGUUUUGAUUUAUUUUGAGUUGUUCUCACUAAUAACAUUUCACUGAUUUCACUGAUGAUCAUGUGCAACUAUAUAUCUAAUAAACUAAUCGGGUUAUAUCUGGUUGAAAAUUUAAAAUUUGACAGUAGUUACAAGUACCAUGAUUAUUGUAACAAACUUCUCUUUCAUUCUUUUUCUGUUUGCAGAGGUCCUUCGGAGUGAUUUCAGUUUUUUCAUCACUGAUCUAAUCAUAACGCAUAAAUCUAAUAGCUCCAUCGUUCCAUGGACGAUAAAGGCUGUAAGCACAUAUCUUUGGGACAUGAUUCUCCUUCGACGCGUGAUGGUGAACAACUGAACAUACCUUCAUGGUAAUCUGUAUGUUGUUCUAAACUUAAGAUUCCUCCUAUAAGGUCUUUGUAUGUAAAAUUUUUUUACAAUUAAAUACAUGUUUUAAGAAAACGCCUACUUCUACUAUUGUGCCCAUUAUUUAGUUAGAUCCUCUUUCUGGCGAAUCACAGGAUUCAGGUUAUAUUAUAUUCACUGAAGAUAUUGGUCUGUGUUUCAUAGGUAUAUGACCAGUUUUGUCAAUUUUAAUGUUAAUGCAUUCUCAGCAUUUAAUGGUUUUCAUGGGAGAAAAAGUUUUAACACCCAGGUUUAUUUCUGGUGCCACACAAACAUCAAGUGAGAUUGAUAAU
Daucus carota subsp. sativus is the source of this 2436-nucleotide long non-coding RNA. RefSeq lists it as uncharacterized. Lineage: Eukaryota; Viridiplantae; Streptophyta; Magnoliopsida; Apiales; Apiaceae. The record is from RefSeq and is a predicted model, not a curated record. The transcript has 4 exons.